GAUGAACGCUGGCGGCGUGCCUAAUACAUGCAAGUCGAGCGAACAGAUAAGGAGCUUGCUCCUUUGACGUUAGCGGCGGACGGGUGAGUAACACGUGGGUAACCUACCUAUAAGACUGGAAUAACUCCGGGAAACCGGGGCUAAUGCCGGAUAACAUGUUGAACCGCAUGGUUCUACAGUGAAAGGCGGCUUUGCUGUCACUUAUAGAUGGACCCGCGCCGUAUUAGCUAGUUGGUGAGGUAACGGCUCACCAAGGCAACGAUACGUAGCCGACCUGAGAGGGUGAUCGGCCACACUGGAACUGAGGCACGGUCCAGACUCCUACGGGAGGCAGCAGUAGGGAAUCUUCCGCAAUGGGCGAAAGCCUGACGGAGCAACGCCGCGUGAGUGAUGAAGGUCUUCGGAUCGUAAAACUCUGUUAUUAGGGAAGAACAAAUGCGUAAGUAACUGUGCGCGUCUUGACGGUACCUAAUCAGAAAGCCACGGCUAACUACGUG
Molecule: ribosomal RNA, 497 nt
Filed under: uncultured bacterium
Lineage: Bacteria
Description: partial 16S ribosomal RNA
Rfam family: Bacterial small subunit ribosomal RNA
Source: RNAcentral